UCCUCGAUAGUAUAGUGGUCAGUAUCGCCGCCUGACACGCGGAAGACCGGGGUUCGAUUCCCGCCGGGGAG
RNAcentral lists this transfer RNA (71 nucleotides) under Trichonephila clavata. It matches the Rfam family "tRNA". From Rfam's summary of the family: Transfer RNA (tRNA) molecules are approximately 80 nucleotides in length. Their secondary structure includes four short double-helical elements and three loops (D, anti-codon, and T loops). The record is from Rfam by way of RNAcentral. Lineage: Eukaryota; Metazoa; Arthropoda; Arachnida; Araneae; Nephilidae.